Helianthus annuus (common sunflower) is the source of this 275-nucleotide long non-coding RNA. RefSeq lists it as uncharacterized. The transcript is spliced from 3 exons. The record is from RefSeq and is a predicted model, not a curated record. NCBI's taxonomy places the organism in Eukaryota, Viridiplantae, Streptophyta, Magnoliopsida, Asterales, Asteraceae.
AGAUUAAUGAUCCCCAUUGCAAGGAGAUCAUAAGUUGGCGCUUAACAAGCUAGGUGAAGCUUGGGGAGAAAGCGGGUCAAACAAAUCAAGAAGGAAAGGAAAAGUGUAGCUUGGAUACGAGGUACUUUGUGGAUGCCGGAAGAAGAUCAAGCUCAACGAAGAACCGAACACGAAAUAGAUACACGUUUCCGCACAUUGCCACGUUGUAAAUUUUAAACAACGAACUCGAUUACGUUAUGUUGAAUAACUUAUGAUUUGUUAAAAGUUUUAAUAAA